UGCGUAGGCGGUUAUCUAAGUCACGUGUGAAAUCUUCCGGCUCAACCGGAAAACUGCGCGUGAAACUAGAUGACUUGAGUGAGGUAGGGGUGUGUGGAACUUCCGGUGGAGCGGUGAAAUGUGUAGAGAUCGGAAGGAACGCCAGCAGCGAAAGCGGCACACUGGGCCUUUUCUGACGCUGAGGCACGAAAGCUAGGGGAGUGAACGGGAUUAGAUACCCCGGUAAUCCUAGCCGUAAACACUGAACACUGGAGGACGGGGGCUUCGGCCUUCGUUCUCGUAGCGAAAGCGUUAAGUGUUCCGCCUGGGGAGUAUGGUCGCAAGGCUGAA
RNAcentral lists this ribosomal RNA (330 nucleotides) under uncultured bacterium. RNAcentral describes it as "bacterial SSU rRNA". It matches the Rfam family "Bacterial small subunit ribosomal RNA", at positions 568 to 898 of the family's 1533-position model. The record is from RNAcentral.